CAGAACCUCGGUAGUUGUCGAUGAGUCGAACCCAGUUACUUCAGAUUUUAGAAUUACAUUUCUACACCUAAUCUCUGGGAGAAGUCAACGUAGUACAUACAUAUUACUAAGGUCCUUCUUGAAUAUGCAGCAAACAAAUAGUUCAGACAUGCUCGACAUUGUUGUAGACUACAUCAAAGUACUGAGGACCAAAUUGAGGUAUCCUCCACAGAGAUACAACCGUGUUACAUAGCACACACUUCCAGUAGGCCUUGCUAACAAUAUCAUUUUGCACUGCAUGUUAACAUGUUUUCUUAAUUUUGUACACAAGUAUAAACUGACUAGGUAACGUCAUAUUUAUUACUAGAAUGAAAGGGAGUAACUUAUUCAUCUUUAAAUGGAAUCAUGCAGAAACUAAAACAGGACCAAGGAAACUGCUCCUGCUCAGCCGAUCAGAAGUGCUGACGCCCCAGAACUAGAUAUGCGAGGUUAUGUUUGCACCAGUGUGAUUAGCAAGACCAAGUCUUGCUCAUGAGAUAAGUUGUAAAUGUCCUUCGCAUCGCGUUUCAAGUAGUCUACAUGCUCAUCUUCUCCUUCCUUGGUUGUACUAUGGUUUAGCUUCAAUGGCUUCAAGACUAGGAGGUGACAAGUAGAAUGUUGUAAUUUAAGUAUUAAGGCAUUACCAAUCUUUCAUUUCAAUGCAAGUUGGAUUGCUUCUGCUUAUCAUCAUUUUGCCUGGUAAAAUUAUUGUAGGGAUCCUCUGCCUUGAGUCCAUUUCUGGCUAUCAAAGUUCAUUUUUCUGGAUUGCUAGACUUAGCACGAAGUGAUAUGUCCUGGCACAAAAUAUGUACCUCCUGCCUACUCCCCCAAAACAAAUUUGGACCCAAUGAGUUCUUCCAAAUUUUCAACCAUAAAACAUUCAUGUUAACCUUAUUCGCCAAUUCACUUGUAAGUUGAUCUCUCCAGGUUGCAGGCACACAUUAUAACCAGGUUACUCUCAGUGCCUCCUUUUGUUAAUAGGUAGCUAUAUGCAAGGUACCUAUGUAAAAUUUCUUGAUCAUUUUGAUAUUUGGGCUCAAGAUUUCUAAUUUUUCUUUGUGAUCAUGGUUUCUACUUUCUAGAUAUAUUUGCACUCGUUGGCAGUACUAAAGACAGUUUGCGAAAGUCAAGUGUGUUAAAUCAUAAAGAUUAGACCAAUGGAUAUCAGAAAAAAAGAGUUCGGCCAGGUGAUGCUUCAUGCCUCAUAUGAUAAAUUGCCGAGACAACCAACAUAUAACCGUACUAUUGUUGGGCCAAUUGAUGAUAGGUGUACAUUAAUAUGUUUCAAAAAAAAGAUCCAUGAUGUGGAACAUAGUGCAAUGGUGAGAUCCACUUAUUUAUGAUGGUGAGUAAUUAGCCUGGCAUGUGGAGUUGUACUAAUAAUCUAUGAGAAGGACCUCACAUCACAACACCCGAGCAAGUCUAGCAAGGCUUGCUCACCAUGGCCUACCGCGCCGGACCGACGGGGUGAGCACGUGAUCAUCAUUAGUAGGUCCUUCGUCACAACACCCUAGCAAGCGAGAUGUUCAGACAGAGAUAUAUGAUACACCACUAUCAACAUAUGUCAUAGACAAACAAUAUAUAUCGUUCUCUUCACAAGCACAAGACUUGAUUUUGGUUGGCUGGUACCUGGCAGUCUGCACUUCCUCUCUACUUGUGACGCCCCAUCAUGUUGGUUUACAUUUGGAGCCAAAAUGCUGCUGAGCAUUUGGUGUGACUGAUUGCACUGUCCAUUUGAUGUUUUCUAGACAUAUGCUAUGCAUUGGACACAAUUAUGUUAUCUGUAAAGGCAAUUUCCUGCCUUUAUGCAUUAAAUCGAUUCAUUCUCGACAACUAUUCUCACAACAAUAUGUACUUUGUUUACAGGUUUGGACCAUGGGUUGAGCCAGGCACCAUGUGCCGAAGGCCUGUUUCCUAUCUUCUAUGUUUUUUUGUAUGUGGCAUCAGUAUUGAUUCAAUAGUUUCGAUGUUUCUGUACAAUGUUGGAAAUAGAUGGGUAGCACUGUCCCUAUAAAUUCUUCUUUUCUUUUUUGUCCAAACUUGAACAAAAAAGAAAUUACGGAAGAUGUUUUAUUGCCCCAUUGUAUUAUUAUUGGUUUCCCACAGAGUAGGUUCAUGUACGCUUCUUUGCUAAUGUAAGGCUAA
Triticum dicoccoides is the source of this 2163-nucleotide long non-coding RNA. RefSeq lists it as uncharacterized. The transcript has 5 exons. The record is from RefSeq and is a predicted model, not a curated record. Lineage: Eukaryota; Viridiplantae; Streptophyta; Magnoliopsida; Poales; Poaceae.